AUGCUACUGCGUAAUCUUAAUCCAUCAAGGGGACUUUGUAAUGGCACUAGACUCAUUGUUACACAACUGACUGGUCGUGUCAUUGAAGGAGAAAUCAUAACAGGGAAGGCUAUAGGUUCAAGAGUGUAUAUUCCUCGAAUUGUCACUACGUCAUCUCAGUCUAAGUGGCCUUUCAAAUUGAGGCGUCGCCAGUUUGCUGUUCGCCUUUCAUAUGCUAUGACAAUAAACAAAAGUCAGGGGCAAACACUAAACCGAGUUGGUGUCUACUUGCCAUCUAAUGUCUUCUGACACGGUCAAUUAUAUGUGGCAUUUUCAAGAGUUACAUCACGAGACGGCUUGCGAGUUUUCAUUGAAAAUAGCCCAGUUUCUUAUGAGCAUUGCACACAUAAUGUAGUAUAUGUCGAGGUAUUCAAUCAAAUUAAUACACAUAGAAGCUAA
This 438-nucleotide ribosomal RNA is filed under the name Triticum aestivum (bread wheat). RNAcentral describes it as "partial small subunit ribosomal RNA". The record is from RNAcentral. Lineage: Eukaryota; Viridiplantae; Streptophyta; Magnoliopsida; Poales; Poaceae.